Molecule: small nucleolar RNA, 132 nt
Organism: Gymnodraco acuticeps
Lineage: Eukaryota; Metazoa; Chordata; Actinopteri; Perciformes; Bathydraconidae
Product: small nucleolar RNA SNORA69
Exons: 1
Source: RefSeq, a predicted model, not a curated record
AAAGCAGGUCUGCAAUUGCAGCACUCCAUUUCAUUAGAGUGUUGUCAUUAAUCCUGCUGAGAGUAUCUCUGCUGCAGAGCCCUGAUUCCAGCUCACCAUGGUGGUGAUGAGGAAGCUCUGUAGCUGAACAUU